GACGAACGCUGGCGGCGUGCCUAACACAUGCAAGUCGAACGGAAAGGCCCUGCUUUUGUGGGGUGCUCGAGUGGCGAACGGGUGAGUAACACGUGAGUAACCUGCCCUUGACUUUGGGAUAACUUCAGGAAACUGGGGCUAAUACCGGAUAGGAGCUCCUGCUGCAUGGUGGGGGUUGGAAAGUUUCGGCGGUUGGGGAUGGACUCGCGGCUUAUCAGCUUGUUGGUGGGGUAGUGGCUUACCAAGGCUUUGACGGGUAGCCGGCCUGAGAGGGUGACCGGCCACAUUGGGACUGAGAUGCGGCCCAGACUCCUACGGGAGGCAGCAGUGGGGAAUAGUGCACAAUGGGCGGAAGCCGGAUGCAGCAACGCCGCGUGCGGGAUGACGGCCUUCGGGUUGUAAACCGUUUUCGCCUGUGACGAAGCGUGAGUGACGGUAAUGGGUAAAGAAGCACCGGCUAACUACGUG
RNAcentral lists this ribosomal RNA (468 nucleotides) under uncultured bacterium. Its description in RNAcentral is "partial 16S ribosomal RNA". It matches the Rfam family "Bacterial small subunit ribosomal RNA", at positions 28 to 507 of the family's 1533-position model. The record is from RNAcentral.